UACAGAGGUCCCAAGCGUUGUUCGGAUUCACUGGGCGUAAAGGGCGCGUAGGCGGACUGCCAAGUCCGGGGUGAAAUCUUUCGGCUCAACCGGAAAAUAGCCUCGGAGACUGGCGGUCUGGAGGGGGGUAGGGGCAGCUGGAACUUCCGGUGGAGCGGUGAAAUGCGUAGAUAUCGGAAGGAACAUCAGUGGCGAAAGCGACUGCCUGGUCCAGCAUCGACGUUCAGGCACGAAAGCGUGGGGAGCAAACAGG
RNAcentral lists this ribosomal RNA (253 nucleotides) under uncultured bacterium. RNAcentral describes it as "partial 16S ribosomal RNA". It matches the Rfam family "Bacterial small subunit ribosomal RNA", at positions 524 to 776 of the family's 1533-position model. The record is from RNAcentral.